CCUACGGGUGGCAGCAGUAGGGAAUCUUCCUCAAUGGGCGAAAGUCUGAUGGAGCAACGCAGCGUGGGUGAUGAAUGUCCUCGGAGCGUAAAACUCCGUUGAUAGAGAAGUAAGUGCGUGAGCGUAACUGUUCACGUAUCGACGGUAUCUAACCAGAACGCCACGGCUAACUACGUGACAGCAGCUGCGGUAAUACGUAGGUGGCAAGCGUUAUCCGGAUUUAUUGGGCGUAAGGGGAACGGAGGCGGUAUUUUAAGUCUGAGGUGAAAGCCUUCGGCUUAACCGGUGUAGUGCAUUGGAAACUGGGAGACUGGAGUGCAGAAGAGGAGAGUGGAACUCCAUGUGUAGCGGUGAAAUGCGUAGAUAUAUGGAGGAACACCAGUGGCGAAGGCGACUCUCUGGUCUGUAACUGACGCUGAGGUUCGAAAGCGUGGGUAGCAAACAGGAUUAGAUACCCUAGUAGUC
RNAcentral lists this ribosomal RNA (465 nucleotides) under uncultured bacterium. RNAcentral's name for it is "partial 16S ribosomal RNA". It matches the Rfam family "Bacterial small subunit ribosomal RNA", at positions 338 to 795 of the family's 1533-position model. The record is from RNAcentral.